This 403-nucleotide ribosomal RNA is filed under the name uncultured bacterium. RNAcentral's name for it is "partial 16S ribosomal RNA". It matches the Rfam family "Bacterial small subunit ribosomal RNA", at positions 28 to 526 of the family's 1533-position model. The record is from RNAcentral.
GACGAACGCUGGCGGCGUGCCUAAUACAUGCAAGUCGAACGCAGUGGGGACGGGUGAGUAACACGUGGGUAACCUCCCAUCAGAGGGGAUAACACUUGGAAACAGGUGCUAAACCGAUACUGAUGGAUGGACCCGCGGUGCAGUAGCUAGUUGGUGGGGUAACGGCGCACCAAGGCAACGAUGCAUGGCCGACCGCGUAGGGUUGGCGGCCCACCGGGGACGGAGAUGCGGCCUAGACUCCUACGGGAGGCAUCAGUAGGGAAGCUUCGGCAAGGGACGAAAGUCUGACCGAGCAACGCCGCGUGAGUGAAGAAGGUUUUCGGAUCGUAAAACUCUGUUGUUAGUGAAGCGGUAUCUAACCAGAAAGCCACGGCUAACUACGUGCCAGCAGCCGCGGUAAUAC